AUACCGCAUACGUCCUACGGGAGAAAGCAGGGGACCCUCGGGCCUUGCGCUAUCGGAUGAGCCUAGGUCGGAUUAGCUAGUUGGUGAGGUAAUGGCUCACCAAGGCUACGAUCCGUAACUGGUCUGAGAGGAUGAUCAGUCACACUGGAACUGAGACACGGUCCAGACUCCUACGGGAGGCAGCAGUGGGGAAUAUUGGACAAUGGGCGAAAGCCUGAUCCAACAGAGGCCGCGUGUGUGAAGAAGGUCUUCGGA
This 255-nucleotide ribosomal RNA is filed under the name uncultured bacterium. RNAcentral's name for it is "partial 16S ribosomal RNA". It matches the Rfam family "Bacterial small subunit ribosomal RNA", at positions 166 to 422 of the family's 1533-position model. The record is from RNAcentral.